RNAcentral lists this transfer RNA (74 nucleotides) under Campylobacter upsaliensis. Its description in RNAcentral is "tRNA-Cys". It matches the Rfam family "tRNA". Rfam says of the family: Transfer RNA (tRNA) molecules are approximately 80 nucleotides in length. Lineage: Bacteria; Pseudomonadati; Campylobacterota; Epsilonproteobacteria; Campylobacterales; Campylobacteraceae. The record is from RNAcentral.
GGCGACAUAGCCAAGUGGUAAGGCACGAGCCUGCAAAGCUCUGAUCCCCGGUUCGAAUCCGGGCGUCGCCUCCA